UAGGGAAUCUUCGGCAAUGGACGAAAGUCUGACCGAGCAACGCCGCGUGAGUGAAGAAGGUUUUCGGAUCGUAAAACUCUGUUGUUAGAGAAGAACAAGGACGUUAGUAACUGAACGUCCCCUGACGGUAUCUAACCAGAAAGCCACGGCUAACUACGUGCCAGCAGCCGCGGUAAUACGUAGGUGGCAAGCGUUGUGCGGAUUUAUUGGGCGUAAAGCGAGCGCAGGCGGUUUCUUAAGUCUGAUGUGAAAGCCCCCGGCUCAACCGGGGAGGGUCAUUGGAAACUGGGAGACUUGAGUGCAGAAGAGGAGAGUGGAAUUCCAUGUGUAGCGGUGAAAUGCGUAGAUAUAUGGAGGAACACCAGUGGCGAAGGCGGCUCUCUGGUCUGUAACUGACGCUGAGGCUCGAAAGCGUGGGGAGCAAACAGG
RNAcentral lists this ribosomal RNA (429 nucleotides) under Gemmatimonadota bacterium. RNAcentral's name for it is "Gemmatimonadetes bacterium partial 16S ribosomal RNA". It matches the Rfam family "Bacterial small subunit ribosomal RNA", at positions 355 to 776 of the family's 1533-position model. Lineage: Bacteria; Pseudomonadati; Gemmatimonadota. The record is from RNAcentral.